UCUACGUAGUAGAAGUGGACACUUCUUGUACACUUUGUAAGGCAACCCACUUGGUCCAGGGGCUGAUGCUGUCCUUGCCUUUUUUACCACCUCCUCCACUUCCUUCCAGGUUGGUUCUCUGGUCACCAAAGGUUCCGAGGGGAGUGGCACCCUGAUGAUCUUUGGGUGGCUGCUCAAACGUUCAUACCUCUGUGGGUCACAGUGUGUCACCCUCAGAGCUUCUUCAACCUCCUCCUUAGAGCUGCUGAGUGUUCCUGAUCUUGCUUCUCCUAAUAAGGUUUUAGUAAACCUAUAGGGAUCUUUGAUUAACUGUGCGCUUCUUGCCCCCUGAUGUUAGGUCUCCAAUUCCCUCUUUUUCCCCUUCGGUGGCAUUCUUGAACUGCCUGGAUAGUGUCUUAAUCUCUCUCCGCAAGCUCUGCAUCUCCCUCUCCCUCCGAUUUGGUGACCGGACAUUAAGGGUGCUGGUCUUCCUCUCCUCGACACCAAACCACCCCUUGGCCACAUUGUAGGUGAUCGCCGUCAUCGUUGCCAUCUUCUGUUCAGCAGCCCCUACCAGAGCAGUUUCAAGAAUCUUACACAGGUCCUCAUUCAGCUGCUGCCACUCUUUGUUGCUGUUCAUUUUCGGCCAUUUUACUCUAUCGUUUGCAGGUUGAGGUUGCCGGGAGGCAUCAGAGUUGACCGCUGUGUGGUUCAAAGGCAAAGCCGUUGCCAAGAGAUCUCCAGUGCUGUGGGGUGCCUCCUGACUGGGGUUCUCCUGCGUCUGACGUGGUGUUGCCACCCUGCGCUGCAACAAAGAAGAAACAAUUGCUGUAAGUUCCAACACCACACCUAAUAUUACUAGAUGGGCAGCAGCAUUCGCCAUCAGCAUUCGGGAACAGUGCCACUUGCCACAGAGAACAGUCAACACUGUCAUCUCAGGGGUACAACAAUAUCAAGCUGCCCUCCUUGACACGCUAAGAGACAGAAUCAAAACGGUGUUUGAAGCAAAUCGAUGAGGUUUUGGCUCAGUUCGAUAAAUACUUGGAUCCUUUCUCAACCACAGCAUAUGGACAGGAUAAAACCAUCCGUGAGUUAUUCAGUCCUGUCAAUC
Fundulus heteroclitus (mummichog) is the source of this 1090-nucleotide long non-coding RNA. RefSeq lists it as uncharacterized. The transcript has 3 exons. The record is from RefSeq and is a predicted model, not a curated record. NCBI's taxonomy places the organism in Eukaryota, Metazoa, Chordata, Actinopteri, Cyprinodontiformes, Fundulidae.